GAGGGAGCCUGCUCCCGCUGGGGUGCGAAGCGCUCGCAGAUUUUCAGGGCUGCUUCGCAACCCAGCGGGAGCAAGCGCCCUC
This 82-nucleotide unclassified non-coding RNA is filed under the name Pseudomonas mandelii. The record is from RNAcentral. Lineage: Bacteria; Pseudomonadati; Pseudomonadota; Gammaproteobacteria; Pseudomonadales; Pseudomonadaceae.